CAUUGAUGAUCGUUCUUCUCUCCCUUUGGGGGAGUAAGAGGGAGAGGACGCAGUCUGAGUGGU
RNAcentral lists this precursor RNA (63 nucleotides) under Otolemur garnettii (small-eared galago). RNAcentral's name for it is "precursor scaffold_93_7646 miRNA". It matches the Rfam family "Small nucleolar RNA U3", at positions 155 to 219 of the family's 219-position model. Rfam says of the family: Small nucleolar RNAs (snoRNAs) are involved in the processing and modification of rRNA in the nucleolus. There are two main classes of snoRNAs: the box C/D class, and the box H/ACA class. Lineage: Eukaryota; Metazoa; Chordata; Mammalia; Primates; Galagidae. The record is from RNAcentral.